AAUUCGAUGCAACGCGAAAACCUUACCACCUUUGACAUGUACGGAAUCCUUUAGAGAUAGAGGAGUGCUCGAAAGAGAGCCGUAACACAGGUGCUGCAUGGCUGUCGUCAGCUCGUGUCGUGAGAUGUUGGGUUAAGUCCCGCAACGAGCGCAACCCUUGUCCUUAGUUACCAGCACGUAAUGGUGGGCACUCUAAGGAGACUGCCGGUGACAAACCGGAGGAAGGUGGGGAUGACGUCAAGUCACCAUGGCCCUUACGGCCAGGGCUACACACGUGCUACAAUGGUCGGUACAAAGGGUUGCCAAGCCGCGAGGUGGAGCUAAUCCCAUAAAACCGAUCGUAGUCCGGAUCGCAGUCUGCAACUCGACUGCGUGAAGUCGGAAUCGCUAGUAAUCGUGAAUCAGAAUGUCACGGUGAAUACGUUCCCGGGCCUU
RNAcentral lists this ribosomal RNA (435 nucleotides) under uncultured Variovorax sp. RNAcentral's name for it is "bacterial SSU rRNA". It matches the Rfam family "Bacterial small subunit ribosomal RNA", at positions 948 to 1382 of the family's 1533-position model. The record is from RNAcentral. Lineage: Bacteria; Pseudomonadati; Pseudomonadota; Betaproteobacteria; Burkholderiales; Comamonadaceae.